RNA transcript from Mirounga angustirostris (Northern elephant seal), 3805 nucleotides. RefSeq lists it as uncharacterized. The transcript is spliced from 4 exons. The record is from RefSeq and is a predicted model, not a curated record. NCBI's taxonomy places the organism in Eukaryota, Metazoa, Chordata, Mammalia, Carnivora, Phocidae.
UGCCCGGCGCGCGGGUUGGAGGCUCGUCCAGCAGAGGCAGGAGGAAGUAGCUUUCCCAGGCUGUGGCAUGGCUUAGGGGAAUAUGUUCUAUAAGAACCCCCCGCUCUUCCUAGGAUACGCACUGGGGUCCUAUGUUCUGCAAAGGCCAAAGGAGUCAAAGAAACUUCGAGUACUUCCCACUUGGAGGCAUGGAGAAGUGGAAGCCUUCCCCACGCGCACAGGCCCGGUUGGUGCCGUCACUGGGGAGAGGUGUGUGGGCAGCGGCAGGAGGGACGCCCACUGCGAACUGUUUCGUCUUCUGACACGAAAAUCCAUCUUUCCUCUACAUAUCAAUGGACUCUUCACUGCUAGUAAAGAUUUCUGUUCCCCAGCUCGGUCAAGUCCCCCGCCACCAAAGUCAACUGAGUGUUGAGGCAAAGAGUCAAACUUCCAGCAGCUGGAGGACUGCGGCACUGAUCUUUUUUUGGGGGGAUGCCCUUCAAACCUCCACCAGCUCCUCGGGUUGUUGCAUCACACUGAUGUCUCAUCCUCAACAAAGGACCACUUAAAAAUUAGAUUCAAUCUUAACAAAUAUGACAACAUUGCAUUUGGUGAUAGCACUGAUAGAACUUAAGGAACUGAAAUAUGAAACAGUAUAAUUUGACACUCUUUUAUAAGAGGACUGUGUUUGUAACCUAUGGCGCACAAUGGAAAUAUUCGGAAGACUGUGCGCAGGAAGGGCAAAGAUGCUAACACAUAGAAACAACUGCACGGCUGGAGAAGGAAAGACCAGCCACACCCUCACUGAGGAGGGAGAAGAAUCUGGGUAUGGGGGGUAGGGGGGAGAGGAAUAGUAAAGCAUUUUUAAAAAGCUGCAGUCUCUCAAAGUGGGGACCACUAGUUUCCUUGCUACUUCCAAAGAGAAUGUAUCAGUCUGACAACUAAUCUGAAAUCCUAAGGGACGCCAACAAUCACAAAGUAACUGUUACAGGAAAUUCUGCCAUGGGUUCCCACCAGCAGAGCACGUGUAACACGCAGAAUGGUGGCAGAAAUGGUGUGGGUGCAGGGCUGAGUGGGGGGAGGGCAGGGAAAGUUCUUGAAUGUUUGUUAAGUACACUGAAGAACCACCCACUCCAGUUCUCCUCAGCUUGACUUUUUGAUUUCUUCUUUUUAAUUUCACUUUCUUGCCCAGUGAGCAAAUGAUUACAAAUGUCAGUUACUUUACUACGUGCCUUAUGAAUAGGACGGAUUUUUUAAAAAAAUGUUUUCAGGUUUACUUGAAGGCUAUUGAAUUGCCCUUUAAGAUCCUUGGAGAGUUAAUUGAUAAAGACACCAUGUUCUGAUAACUAAAGGCUUAUAAUACAAAGAUCAUUCUGAUUCCAAUGAAACUGAGUCCUCAAAGCACAGAUUAUUACAAAUGGCAUCUAGAAAAUCCCCACUAAACUGUAUCAUAAAAACAAGCUUAAGCUCUCUAAUUAAAACCGUAUGAGAAAUGUUUUUUGUUUUUUUUUUUAACUACAGGAAAGUUAUUUGCAAAGAAAUUUGAGAGGUGAUUGGGGGUAGUGGUAAUACAAAUUCAUUUUGAAACCGAAAAAACUCUUAUGUAAUGUCUGUGAUCAAAGGUCAACGUCUUUCGACAUUCUCAAUGAGUCUGAUCUGGAUAAAAAUCAACUGAAAUACAACUUAGGAAAAUAACAGGAUAUCAGACAAUGUGUUAAUCCUGUGAAAUACUGGCACACCUCACAAAACCCAAAAAUGCAUAUUAAAGGAGCUUCAAUUACAUUGUUUCUGUCAUAGUUUGAAUCGAAUCCCAAGUGUGCUCUCAUUCCCUCAAUACAAAUUAAAAAUAAACAACUUCUCACAGCAUCAGUGCCAUCUGGAUUACAAUGGAAAUAAUGAAGUAUGUGUGAUUUUAGCUCGGGUAAAAAUAAAGCCGAGGCAACAUGACUGCACCUUUUCCAUGCCAUGCGGCAAUCACAUUCACUUGGUGGAGCUGACUGCGGACCAAGGCAAGGUCAACUAGAAAUAUCCACUCCGUGGGUGAGUCAGGCAGUUGCUCAACACGGGAAAGCGCUCUAACAAAGGGUUUUUAAUUUUCAGGUUGUUGCAUCACACUGAUGUUAUAAUUGCACUUCGCAAAGAUAAGCCUUUAACACAGAAAAGGAAAUUGUUUCAAAGACGCCAGUGAGCUAGCAUUCACACUCUGGGGAGGGCGAGAGAUGGGGGGAUGUUAUUAGCACAGCUCCCCCUCCCGUUUUCAGGCUGGUGGUCUGGGCUGCUAAUCCAUCUGUCUGUGCCUCUACUCCCGCACCUGUAGAAUGGGGAUGGUGAGAGAAGGCAGCACAGAGUCAGGCACAAGGAGGCUAAGGGGCUAGAAUCAGCUCUUCAUUUCAUUUCUGAAGAAUGAGCAGCACCAAGGCAAUGCCGAUGACGAGUGCCUGGGCUUUUGAGCCUCUCGCGAUUCUUAAGGAAGCCCUGCCCUGUGCGGCAGGUAGAAGGCUCAACCAGAUGAAAUCUUGUGUAUUAAUCAAAAAGAUCAAACAUCAGCAGUUUCACAGGACACGGCCUUAGUUGUCAAGCACACAGGCUGUGCACACUCCUUCCCAGAGGGCCCCUCGGUGGGGUCUAACCCGCCUCGGCUGGGCUCGGACCACAGAUGUGUAGAGAUGUGGAUGAUCAGACCAAGGAGAGCCGUCACAGAGAAGUCAAAGGAACUGGGAAAAGCCAGGGCUGUGUGGCACUUGUUACAUCAUUCCUGCCACCACCGACUCACCUCUGUGUUCCUACCCACGCUUCCCCCAAACAUUAACCCAGUGAUUUCAGAGGCUCCGCAACACUGUCAAGAAUUCACUUCAAACUUAAAUUACCACUGAACGCAAUGGCACACAGUUUUGAGAGAGGAAAAAAAAAAGUAAUCAUUAUUAGAACAAAAAUGUAUCCCAAGAAGGAUCUUUAAUUAUAUAGGCUUAACUCAAACUUCAGUCCUUACUAUUAUUGGACGGAGAUUUAGGCAGAGAAAAAUGAAGGUGACUGCCUUUAUUAAAAAAAAAAAAAAUCUGGUUCCUGGUGAAUUAUAUGGGAACGGUUUACUGAGCUCCUCAAAACUACCCAGCUCGACGGGUCAUAUUCUCUCAGUUUACUCUGGACACCAGCAGAGAUCACAGCAGCUCCCAAAAUCACAGGCUGGGGCCUUGGGGCCCAGCUCUUCUGAGCCUGAACUCUUAGCACUCCGCCAGAGCUGGUCCCUAACUACAGACAGUGGCCUGCAGCUCAAGAGAGAAACUGAUUGAGGGGCACGGAUGUAGGAUGUGAUCCCACAGAAACCAACUUUUCAACAAAGCAGACUGCCAGAGAGCACCUGUGAUGUCGCCCUGAAUUCACUGCAAACCAGUUGCUGAGCACACUCUCAGAAGUCUUUAUGCCAGGAUGAAAGUACUGUAGUCUUACAGUAGGACAGCGGCGUCUACGUGGGCGUUUUGAUUUUUGUUUUAUUUUGAACUCGGGGAAUUCAAGUUCUUUCUACUCUAGCCUUUGACCGCAUGAAGUAAAGGUAUAUAAAAAAAGAAAAAGAGGAAAGGAAAGGAAGAAAGGAAGGAAGGAAGGAAGGAAGGAAGGAAGGAAGGAAGGAAGAAAAAGAAAGGAAAGAAAGAAAAGAAAAAGAGAGAAAGAAAGAAAGGAAAGAAAGAGAAAGAAAGAAGGAAAGAAGGAAAGAAAGAAAGAAAGAAAGAAGAAAGAAAGAAAAAGAAAGGAAAGAAAGAAAAGAAAAAGAGAGAAAGAAAGAAAGGAAAGAAAGAGAAAGAAAGAAGGAAAGAAGGAAAGAAAGAAA